CUGCAGCUAAUUAAGCCAACCAUGCUCGUUUCCUCCUGGGGGCCUGGUAUGCAAUGGCUGCAAACGCAACUUCCUUGGCAGUGUAUGCAGCCUGUUGCUUGCAUAGGUUGCUCUAAGGGACCUUGGAGACAUUC
Molecule: small nucleolar RNA, 134 nt
Organism: Otolemur garnettii (small-eared galago)
Lineage: Eukaryota; Metazoa; Chordata; Mammalia; Primates; Galagidae
Gene: SNORA70
Rfam family: Small nucleolar RNA SNORA70
About the family: snoRNA U70 seems to be exclusive to mammals and is a member of the H/ACA class of snoRNA which contain H (ANANNA) and ACA box motifs. H/ACA box snoRNAs are involved in the conversion of uridines to pseudouridines (5-ribosyluracil) a constituent of structural RNAs (transfer, ribosomal, small nuclear, and small nucleolar).
Source: Ensembl